AUUGAACGCUGGCGGAAUGCUUUACACAUGCAAGUCGAACGGCAGCACGGACUUCGGUCUGGUGGCGAGUGGCGAACGGGUGAGUAAUGUAUCGGAACGUGCCCAGUCGUGGGGGAUAACGUAGUGAAAAUUACGCUAAUACCGCAUACGAUCUAUGGAUGAAAGCGGGGGAUCGCAAGACCUCGCGCGAUUGGAGCGGCCGAUAUCAGAUUAGGUAGUUGGUGGGGUAAAGGCCCACCAAGCCAACGAUCUGUAGCUGGUCGGAGAGGACGACCAGCCACACUGGAACUGGGCAACGGUCCAGACUCCUACGGGAGGCAGCAGUGGGGAAUUUUGGACAAUUGGCGAAAGCCUGAUCCAGCCAUUCCGCGUGCAGGAUGAAGGCCCUCGGGUUGUAAACUGCUUUUGUACAGAACGAAAAGGUUUCUACUAAUACUAGGAGCUCAUGACGGUACUGUAAGAAUAAGCACCGGCUAACUACGUGCCAGCCGCCGCAGUAA
This 500-nucleotide ribosomal RNA is filed under the name uncultured bacterium. RNAcentral's name for it is "partial 16S ribosomal RNA". It matches the Rfam family "Bacterial small subunit ribosomal RNA", at positions 30 to 523 of the family's 1533-position model. The record is from RNAcentral.